AAAGAGAUAGUUAAAUUACUU
This 21-nucleotide small nuclear RNA is filed under the name Arabidopsis thaliana (thale cress). RNAcentral's name for it is "snRNA_18701". Lineage: Eukaryota; Viridiplantae; Streptophyta; Magnoliopsida; Brassicales; Brassicaceae. The record is from RNAcentral.